GUCGGGAAUUUUGGGCAAUGGGCGAAAGCCUGACCCAGCAACGCCGCGUGAAGGAUGAAAUCCCUCGGGAUGUAAACUUCGCAAGAUUGGGAAGAAUUAGUAGGGGUUAAUACCCCCUAUGAUGACGGUACCUUUUGUAAGCUCCGGCUAACUCCGUGCCAGCAGCCGCGGUAAUACGGGGGGAGCAAGCGUUGUUCGGAUUUACUGGGCGUAAAGGGCGCGUAGGCGGUCAGCACAAGUCAGUUGUGAAAUCUCCGGGCUUAACUCGGAAAGGUCAACUGAUACUGUGCGACUAGAGUGCAGAAGGGGCAACUGGAAUUCUCGGUGUAGCGGUGAAAUGCGUAGAUAUCGAGAGGAACACUGCGGCGAAGGCGGGUUGCUGGGCUGACACUGACGCUGAGGCGCGAAAGCCAGGGGAGCGAACGGGAUUAGAUACCCCGGUAGUCCUGGCCUUAAACGAUGGAUGCUUGGUGUCUGGAGUUAUAUAGUCUCCGGGUGCCGCAGCUAACGCGUUAAGCAUCCCGCCUGGGGA
This 532-nucleotide ribosomal RNA is filed under the name uncultured bacterium. Its description in RNAcentral is "bacterial SSU rRNA". It matches the Rfam family "Bacterial small subunit ribosomal RNA", at positions 354 to 879 of the family's 1533-position model. The record is from RNAcentral.